AGCGAACGCUGGCGGCAGGCUUAACACAUGCAAGUCGAGCGGGCAUCCUUGUGGUGUCAGCGGCAGACGGGUGAGUAACGCGUGGGAACGUGCCCUUCGGUUCGGAAUAACUCAGGGAAACUUGAGCUAAUACCGGAUACGUGCGAGAGCAGAAAGGUUUAUCUGCCGAAGGAUCGGCCCGCGUCUGAUUAGCUAGUUGGUGAGGUUAUGGCUCACCAAGGCGACGAUCAGUAGCUGGUCUGAGAGGAUGAUCAGCCACACUGGGACUGAGACACGGCCCAGACUCCUACGGGAGGCAGCAGUGGGGAAUAUUGGAAAAUGGGGGCAACGCUGAACCAGCCAUGCCGCGUGAGUGAUGACGGCCUUAGGGUUGUAAAGCUCUUUUCUCCGGGACGAUAAUGACGGUACCGGAGGAAUAAGCCCCGGCUAACUUCGUG
This 437-nucleotide ribosomal RNA is filed under the name uncultured bacterium. RNAcentral's name for it is "partial 16S ribosomal RNA". It matches the Rfam family "Bacterial small subunit ribosomal RNA", at positions 29 to 507 of the family's 1533-position model. The record is from RNAcentral.